UGUAGCUCAGGUGGUUAGAGCGCACCCCUGAUAAGGGUGAGGUCGGUGGUUCAAGUCCACUCA
RNAcentral lists this transfer RNA (63 nucleotides) under Acinetobacter baumannii. RNAcentral's name for it is "tRNA-Ile". It matches the Rfam family "tRNA", at positions 6 to 65 of the family's 71-position model. Rfam says of the family: Transfer RNA (tRNA) molecules are approximately 80 nucleotides in length. Lineage: Bacteria; Pseudomonadati; Pseudomonadota; Gammaproteobacteria; Moraxellales; Moraxellaceae. RNAcentral also lists the same sequence under 6 other names. The record is from RNAcentral.